This 445-nucleotide ribosomal RNA is filed under the name uncultured bacterium. Its description in RNAcentral is "SSU rRNA". It matches the Rfam family "Bacterial small subunit ribosomal RNA", at positions 26 to 518 of the family's 1533-position model. The record is from RNAcentral.
AGAACGAACGCUGGCGGCAUGCCUAACACAUGCAAGUCGAACGAGACCUUCGGGUCUAGUGGCGCACGGGUGCGUAACGCGUGGGAAUCUGCCCCUCGGUUCGGAAUAACAGUGGGAAACUACUGCUAAUACCGGAUGAUGACGAAAGUCCAAAGAUUUAUCGCCGAGGGAUGAGCCCGCGUAGGAUUAGGUAGUUGGUGAGGUAAAGGCUCACCAAGCCGACGAUCCUUAGCUGGUCUGAGAGGAUGAUCAGCCACACUGGGACUGAGACACGGCCCAGACUCCUACGGGAGGCAGCAGUGGGAAUAUUGGACAAUGGGCGAAAGCCUGAUCCAGCAAUGCCGCGUGAGUGAUGAAGGCCUUAGGGUUGUAAAGCUCUUUUACCAGGGAUGAUAAUGACAGUACCUGGAGAAUAAGCUCCGGCUAACUCCGCGCCAGCAGCCGC